CAGCAGCCGCGGGAAUACGAAGGGUGCAAGCGUUAAUCGGAAUUACUGGGCGUAAAGGGUGCGUAGGCGGUUCGUUAAGUCUGUCGUGAAAUCCCCGGGCUCAACCUGGGAAUGGCGAUGGAUACUGGCGAGCUAGAGUGUGUCAGAGGAUGGUGGAAUUCCCGGUGUAGCGGUGAAAUGCGUAGAGAUCGGGAGGAACAUCAGUGGCGAGGGCGGCCAUCUGGGACAACACUGACGCUGAAGCACGAAAGCGUGGGGAGCAAACAGAAUUAGAUACCCCCGUAGUCCCUGUCUCUUAUAC
This 301-nucleotide ribosomal RNA is filed under the name uncultured bacterium. RNAcentral's name for it is "partial 16S ribosomal RNA". It matches the Rfam family "Bacterial small subunit ribosomal RNA", at positions 509 to 807 of the family's 1533-position model. The record is from RNAcentral.